Molecule: long non-coding RNA, 2141 nt
Filed under: Mus musculus (house mouse)
Lineage: Eukaryota; Metazoa; Chordata; Mammalia; Rodentia; Muridae
Description: long non-coding RNA chr15:38949116-38951257
Source: RNAcentral
GGCUAAGAGGGAUGCUAAGCGGAUGUCUGCAAGAGAAGUGGCUAUUAAUGUUACAGAGAAUAUUCGGCAGAUGGACAGAAGUAAAAGGGUCACCAAGAACUGCAUCAAUUAGCAGUGCCCGGAUCUGGAGGCAGAUGAACUUCUUGGUGGAGUCUAGUCAAAGAAUCCUGAAGAAGUUGAUGUCACUCGAUGAGUGUGGAUGCCUCUGAGUGACACACGGCCACCCAACGCUGUGACGAACAUCUCGGUUUCCUGUUUAUCACAUAUAGAAAAUACAUCGAAAAGUCCUGAAAUAUGUUCAUAGAUUGCCAAAAUGUGGUUUGUUUUUCCCCUCUGCAGCUUCCGUAGCAUGGUCUGCUGUAGCCAUGGUGACUGGCACAGAAAGGCUGGAGUAACGGAAUCCCUGUCAAGGAGCUCACACUCGUGCAGAGCUUUCUCAGUGUGUGGUUGCAGACAAACUCCUUCUUUCCUCCUUUCCUUUUAAAUACGGCCACCACAAAAUUUACUGUUUUCACUUAAGAGCUGGCUCCCAGCCAACUCUAAAUCCAGAAAUACAAGAAUCCAAAAAACCAGAGAGACUUGGAACGAGCUGAAUCAGUCCCAGCUUCACGUGCUGGCUCCCCGGUGCCUACUCGGUGUCUUUGAGAGGUGUCUAUGAGACACGCACAUGCACACGCGCGCACACACACACACAUACCUGUUUCUCCUCUACCUGGAAAGGACUCCCAGGCUAGCAUCCAGGCGUUGGCUUCCAAACCAGAAUGUCACAUGCCUGUGGCCUUUGCUCCCUUUGGGACCUAGCUUCAUGUUGCUUUUCCCCAUAGCUUUCCAGUUCCCUAUUGUUCUGGUGGGCUUUGUACCUUCAGUCAGGUGGUCAUUUGCAGCUGGACACCACUCACAGGGGGGAAAGUGACCUAGGAACACAUGGUGGCACACGUGAUACCCCUUUGGCCCUUCUGUACACAGCCCCAAGGACCAUGUUAUUUUUGGUAUCUGCAGAGUAAUUAGUUUGGAAAGCCAGAGGCUGGUUGAUGUAUAUUCCUGUUGACAUAGUCUAACAAGGCACUCACUGUAUUGAAAAACAGGCACCAACAUGGUAAAGCGAUGCUUUGAUAGGAACCCUUCCCCAGCAUUCCUAAGCACACCUUCCUGCAGAGUAUGACACAGCAUGAGUCUGAAAGGACUGUUAACAUGCUUGGGCUUAUUAAGGUCCAAGUCAUAUCAAACUGUACCAACAAACUCACAUCUAGCAGCAAUAGUAGUCUGGCGGCAUGCUUACGUGACAGUUCAAGAGAAGUCACCCAAGCGGAUUAAGAUGCAGAUGCUCACUGCUGUCUCUGACUUAUUUCUCCAACACAAGUAGAACUGUAGACUGUAUGUUUAUUAGUGUUAAGAUUCACUGCCAACCUUGUGCCAGCUACAGUAACAGUCGCAGAGGGAUUUGGAGUCGGGAAGUCACGACUGUACUUCUGACUCUGUGAGGAGGCUUGGUACUCAGGAGACUGACACGGACCCUGUGGCACAAGACCAAUGAUUGCAGUGGAAUCUCACACUUAGGUAAAGGUAGCUUUCUGUCAAUCACAGAUGUAUGUCUUCUCCUUUGCCGUAUACACCACAGUUCCCCCGCCACCCCCAACCUCUCUCAUCUUGACUCCUUGUCAAAGGGCUUUUAGGGAACUUCAUGUUCUGACAAUUUAACUAAUAAAACAAAAGCAAGCCCCGUGACUCCUGUGUCCUCAGCGGCAUUGCUGGGCAGGAGUCCUUCCACAGGGUUGGCCAUGGGUCCAAUCCUGCAAGCUCAAGGGCUUGCGCUCCAGGGCAUGUGCGCUGUGUUUUGACAUGCUGCUUCCCCAGUUGAUGCUAUCGGCCAUGGGCUAAGGCCGGCUUCUCUUCCCAACUCUGUGUUUGCCUCAGCUCAUUGGAAUUUACCAUCUGGGAAAGUUGUCUCUGCAAAUACAGAAACACGUUCUCACUCUGCGAGGAGAAGGGAGGGAGGGAGGGAGGGCCUGUGAUCUGGCACACCAUUGAAAUUUCCAUCUGGCAAGUUUUAAAUGUGUGUUUAAAGCAGGAACUGACUCUUACUAUCCUAGUGGGAUAACACUUUCCAUUCUGAAGUUUGUGUCAAUAAAGUCAUUAAUUUC